Ictidomys tridecemlineatus (thirteen-lined ground squirrel) is the source of this 72-nucleotide non-coding RNA. The record is from Rfam. NCBI's taxonomy places the organism in Eukaryota, Metazoa, Chordata, Mammalia, Rodentia, Sciuridae.
GGGGUUGUGGCUCAGUGGUAGAGUGCUCACCUAGCACAGGUGAGUCACUGGGUUCGAUCCUCAGCAACCCUU